Molecule: ribosomal RNA, 1437 nt
Filed under: Kabatana rondoni
Lineage: Eukaryota; Fungi; Microsporidia
Description: Kabatana sp. GC-2009a Microsporidia small subunit ribosomal RNA
Rfam family: Microsporidia small subunit ribosomal RNA
Source: Rfam by way of RNAcentral
CACCAGGUUGAUUCUCGCCUGACUGUGGAUGCUAGUCCCAUAGAUUUAGCCAUGCAUGUGUAAGUGAAGCGAUAAGUGGAACGCGCGGACGGCUCAGUAACUGGGCAUUAGUAUUUAAUCUCUUUAUAUGGACAACCUCAGGAAACAGAGGGGAAAACAUAUUAGAUUCAUUUUAUAUAAGAAGAAUGAAUUGAGAACAAAUGAAAAUUUUUAUUUGUGAAAGAGAGUAAGAAGCCAUCCUAUCAGUUAGUAAGUAGGGUAAGGGCCUACUUAGACAAGGACGGGUACGGGGGAUUAGGGUUUGAUUCCGGAGAGGGAGCCUGAGAGAUGGCUACCAGGUCCAAGGACAGCAGCAGGCGCGAAAAUUACCACAGUCCACAUUGGAGCGGUAGUGAAGGGACGUAAAAACAAAGAUGUGUAGAUAACAUCUGUGUAACUGGAGGUCAAGUCUGGUGCCCAGCAUCCGCGGUAAUACCAGCUCCAGGAGUGUCUAUGAUGAUUGCUGCGAUUAAAAGGUCCGUAGUCUAAGAAUGAAACUUGUCCUGUAAUGUGGGAAUCUCUAGUACCAAAUACGACCGAGAAGAAUUCCAGAGUUAGGAGCGAAGGAGGGCUAGAUUAUUGAGCAGCGAGAGGUGAAAUUUGAUGACCUGCUUAGGAGUACAAGAGGCCGAAAGCGCUAGUCAAGAACGAAUCCGAUGAUCAAGGACGUAGGCUGGAGUAUCAAACACGAUUAGAGACCGUAGUAGUUCCAGCAGUAAACUAUGCCUACACUGUUGUAUUUAUGUUUUAUAGAUGUGAGUGUGACAGAAGAGAAAUCUAGUAGGGCUUUGGGGAGAGUACGCGCGCAAGCGAUAAAUUUAAAGGAAAUUGACGGAAGAACACCACAAGGAGUGGAGUGUGCGGCUUAAUUUGACUCAACGCGGGACAACUUACCAUAGCCAAUGAUCAAGUAAGCGUAGUACGCGAUAGAUCAGAGAGUGGUGCAUGGCCGUUAUCAACUAGUGAGGUGACUUUUGGGUUAAGUCCGUUAAGUAGUGAGAUCCCUAGGGUUGGCUAAAUAUGUGAUGCUUAUGUGUUAUGUGUUGAAGCUAUAUCGACAGGAGCGAGAAGCGCCGGAAGGAAGGGGCAAGAACAGGUCAGUGAUGCCCUUAGAUGGUAUGGGCUGCACGCGCACUACAGUGGUUACAAUAGAUAUUUUAUAGAAGUAAAUGUAAUCGAGAGGGAAUGAGCACUGUAAUGUGCACAGGAACGAGGAAUUGCUAGUAAUCGUUGCCUCAUUAAGGAGCGAUGAAUAUGUCCCUGUUCUUUGUACACACCGCCCGUCGUUAUCGAAGAUGGAACCAGGUGCGAACAAGCGAAAGCGAGUGAGUGCAGGGUUCUAGAUCUGAUACAAGUCGUAACAAGGCAGCUGUAGGAGAACCUGUAGCUGGAUCAACA